RNAcentral lists this unclassified non-coding RNA (176 nucleotides) under soil metagenome. RNAcentral describes it as "partial internal transcribed spacer 1". The record is from RNAcentral.
AAGAGUUGCAAAACUCCCACAAACCAUCGCGAAUCGUUACCCAGUACGGUGCUCGGGCUGGCGGUCGGAAGGCCUCGGGCCCGGAUCUCGGUCUCCCGCUCGGGGAGGGCCGGACGGCGAAACUAAACUCUUGCUAUCUUAUUGUCCUCUCUGAGUAUACUUUUUAAACUAAGUCA